GGGCCCGCACAAGCGGUGGAGCAUGUGGUUUAAUUCGAUGAUACGCGAGGAACCUUACCAGGGCUUAAAUGUAAGUUGCAUAAAUCAGAGAUGAAUCUUUCUUCGGACUACUUACAAGGUGCUGCAUGGUUGUCGUCAGCUCGUGCCGUGAGGUGUCAGGUUAAGUCCUAUAACGAGCGCAACCCCUAUCGUUAGUUGCCAUCAAGUAAAGUUGGGAACUCUAGCGAAACUGCCGGUGUAAACCGAGAGGAAGGUGGGGAUGACGUCAAAUCAUCACGGCCCUUACGUUCUGGGCUACACACGUGCUACAAUGGCCGGUACAGAAAGCAGCCACUAUGCGAAUAGGAGCUAAUCUUUAAAACCGGUCUCAGUUCGGAUCGCAGUCUGCAACUCGACUGCGUGAAGCUGGAAUCGCUAGUAAUCG
This 424-nucleotide ribosomal RNA is filed under the name uncultured bacterium. RNAcentral describes it as "bacterial SSU rRNA". It matches the Rfam family "Bacterial small subunit ribosomal RNA", at positions 917 to 1344 of the family's 1533-position model. The record is from RNAcentral.